Molecule: ribosomal RNA, 26 nt
Filed under: Fomitopsis serialis
Lineage: Eukaryota; Fungi; Basidiomycota; Agaricomycetes; Polyporales; Fomitopsidaceae
Description: Antrodia serialis partial 28S ribosomal RNA
Source: RNAcentral
UUACCCGCUGAACUUAAGCAUAUCAU